RNAcentral lists this ribosomal RNA (503 nucleotides) under uncultured bacterium. RNAcentral's name for it is "partial 16S ribosomal RNA". It matches the Rfam family "Bacterial small subunit ribosomal RNA", at positions 30 to 523 of the family's 1533-position model. The record is from RNAcentral.
AUUGAACGCUGGCGGCAGGCUUAACACAUGCAAGUCGAGCGGAGUGAUGGUGCUUGCACUAUCACUUAGCGGCGGACGGGUGAGUAAUGCUUAGGAAUCUGCCUAUUAGUGGGGGACAACAUCUCGAAAGGGAUGCUAAUACCGCAUACGUCCUACGGGAGAAAGCAGGGGAUCACUUGUGACCUUGCGCUAAUAGAUGAGCCUAAGUCGGAUUAGCUAGUUGGUGGGGUAAAGGCCUACCAAGGCGACGAUCUGGAGCGGGUCUGAGAGGAGGAUCCGCCACACUGGGACUGAGACACGGCCCAGACUCCUACGGGAGGCAGCAGUGGGGAAUAUUGGACAAUGGGGGGAACCCUGAUCCAGCCAUGCCGCGUGUGUGAAGAAGGCCUUAUGGUUGUAAAGCACUUUAAGCGAGGAGGAGGCUCUUUUGGUUAAUACCCAAGAUGAGUGGACGUUACUCGCAGAAUAAGCACCGGCUAACUCUGUGCCAGCCGCCGCCGUAA